RNAcentral lists this transfer RNA (72 nucleotides) under Pyronema domesticum. RNAcentral describes it as "tRNA-Thr". It matches the Rfam family "tRNA". Rfam says of the family: Transfer RNA (tRNA) molecules are approximately 80 nucleotides in length. Their secondary structure includes four short double-helical elements and three loops (D, anti-codon, and T loops). RNAcentral also lists the same sequence under 1 other name. The record is from RNAcentral. Lineage: Eukaryota; Fungi; Ascomycota; Pezizomycetes; Pezizales; Pyronemataceae.
GCUCCGGUGGGUUAGGGGUAAAGCGCGACACCAGUGAUGUCGAGAUCCGCGGUUCAAAUCCGCGUCGGAGAU